UGUGUUUUUUCGACUUUUUUCAAUUCCAUCGGUAUUAAUUGUGCAAAUUUUGCUUUAAAUAGUUAUUCAAAGCCAUAAUGAAUCCAUUAAUGUAUGUUACUCCUGGAUAAUAUUCAUACAUGGACUCAAUUUCAGGCUUAUUACCGGCUUACUUAGCUGAUUCAAUGUGUGUGGACCCAGCCGACGAACGGAGCCGAGCCGGGAGUGGGGGGAGUGGGGAGCGCCGAGCGCGAGUCUCUGCGUAUGCGUCAUCGCUAGUCGCCGCACACUAGUCUCCGGAGACUGGACAAAACAGCCUUCAAAGUGACUUCAUCGGCGAUCCAGUACUUUGCGACUCUAUUGUACUCUAUGGCAAAAACAGAAGAAAAACAUCGUGCAUGUGGUGGUGAAGGUGGCGCCAUCCCUUUCUCGGCAAAUUUCGUUUCAACUGAAUUCAGAUCGAGGCUAGUUUAGAAUGAAACUGAUUUAUCAUCCCUGGAUUUCACUUACUUCCUCCUUACUCAUGCAGACUGUAAGAAAGAUAAAAUAUUUGAAGAUCUGAUGAUAAUCAGAGAUCCAUUGUGUGCAGGAGUCAAUCCUUCAAGCUCUUUCUCAUAUUCCCAGAAUAUUUAACUCAGUGAAGAUUUCAGAGUACUUACUAAAUCAUCAGAAUGAAUGAAGAACCCAUGAAUGCCCUAAUGCCAAUUUCACCAACUUCGCAGGAUACAAGUUUUUCCAACCUGUUAGAAGACGUGGACCUAGUCAAGACACACCUAGAUUUACUUGGAUACACCCAAUUCAAUUCAAUUACACCCAAUUCAAUCGCCAAUUUAUUGUUAGAUUUUGACAAUAAUGCCGAUAGGGUAACACUAGUUAUAAACCGAAUAAUAGAUGAGCCACCUGAUGUGGAAAUAACAUUUGAAAAGAACUCACCUGAUAAAACAUCAAAAUCCAAUACUCAAAAAACUGCCCAUAGUGUCACAGGAGAGACUUCGGGAUCGAAAGAUACCAAAGGGAUCAUUAACCUAAUUAACUUAUUCGAUCAAGAUCAACCAUCACCAAGUAAAAUUUCCAAGUCUGCAAAUCCUGAAGAGAACCCUUUUUCAUUUGAUCAAGGUAUAAAUAACUUGUUUAAGUCUGAGAACUCGCCAGAAGUGCCGCUUGCUUCCACUUCAUGCGAUUCAGCCGAUCCUGUCAUUAACAUCUCUGACAUAGAAGAGUUUUUGAAUAGUAAAGAGCCGUUACCAACACCCAAAAUAAUUGAUGAUCAUUUGAGCUCUUUAAAUUAUGGCGUGGAGAAUUUGAAAAAGCGAUUAGAUAAAUUGAAAAAUAAUGUAGAUGAAAAUGAAUUUAAGGAGAAGAAAUUAACUGAAAAAGUACUUAAAACUGCAACUGAUUUGGCAAAUGAAGAUUUGAAAACAGGCAUAAUUUCACCACUACAUCAGAACAUUUCUGAGGAACCAGAACAAAUUAGCUUACCCUGUUCCAGUGCUCUGUGCGCUCCCCAAAGCUCGCUUCCAUCAGCAUCAUCAAGUGACUCCGUUACUAAAUUAGUUGGUCUCGGCGAUAAUUUUUUAAAAUUGGAACCUUCACUCGAGGUGAUUGCUUUUCAAACAUUUGAAAAAGCAAUCUAGCACCGAAACAUCGGGGUCAAGCUCAUUAAGCCGCAAUGACAAAUCAACGGAGUCAGCUGAGUUUGAUACAUUUUUAGAUUCAUUUUUAGUAAAGAAGGCAACAUCAUCUCAAAGAACAAAUCCUUCAACUUCACAAGCAUCAACAUCUAUUUCAAAUCCAUGGCAGGGGAAUUUUCAGCCCACUUCGGAGGAACUGGCUGUUAUUGAUGAAGUUGUUGCUGUUGCUUGUUCGCCAGAAAAGCUCAUCAUCACAGAUGAAGAAUUAGAAGAAUUAGAAAAACAAAUUGAACCAACAAAAAACGUCAAAAAACCUGUACCAGCCACCACCUCUACUAAAAUAGAAGUGAUACCUUGUGAACCGUCAACAAGCGGCCCCUCCUUCAGCGUAAUUGAAAUGAUACAAAAUAAACCAUCAACAAGCGGCUCCUGUGGAUCAUCUCGUCAAACUAAUCAAACAAGUAGUAAAACUCACUCAUCAUCCCCUAAAAAGGCCACUGAGCCUAUGCCCAUGUAUUUGGCAAAUCUGAUGGAAAUAUUUCCAGAGGCUGAUACUAAUUACCUCCGUGAUCUGUGCAAAAGCGCAAAUGACAAGAAGAAAUUUCCCAAUAAAGAUGAGAUCCUUCAAACUCUCAUCGAAACUGUAAUAAGAGAUGAAUCUCAUCCUAAAAGAACCUUGCCCCCAUUCGAGGACAAACCUGCAAAAGAUUUGUCUGUCAAUGAGAAGUAUCAGAAUAUAAUUGCAAUCAUUCCUAAUGUUGACCCGGAAUUUUUAGAAAACAAAUGCAAAGAACUUACUAAUGAUGAAAUUUACAGUGCAUUUGUCGAUGAAUUAUUAACCAAAAAAAUUACCCAACCAUUCAGGAUUAUGAAAGAAGGAAAGAGACUGAAAAAGCAAUACAAGCCUAUACAGAUAAUUUUUCUAUUGCUGGCUUCUUAGAGGUUUUCCCUGAUCCCGAAGAUUAUUUUCUGAAUAAGAAGGCCAGUUCUCAUCAUGAACUGUCUCUAACGUUUCUCAAAGAUAGGUUAGUGAAAUGUUUACUUUGUCCUUUACAGUCACAAAAUGUCAAUCUCUUCAGUUCUGUUAGAAUACUCUAUAAAAUCCGGAAAUUUCCCUGAACUGUUGAACUUCAGGGUUUGGUUCAAACCUAAGAAAUUUUCCCUCGUAGAAUCAAAUAUGCAAAUUACACAUUUUUUCAUUUCGCAAGAAUUUGAAGUGAAAAUUUCUCAUGUAAAACAUCAUUACACCUCUUGUCAUUAACAAGUCGAAGAAAUUUAAUGUUCAAAAUUGAGAAUUUGGGGAAUUAUAAAGCAGGCAUCUUUAAAAUGUAGGAUUGCAGGAUUCUGCAUUCUGGAUCUUGAUAAGAAAGGCUCAGAUAGUCAGGACAGCCACUCAGUCAAUGCGCACUAUUUGUCUUUUUGCAAAAUUCAAGUUUGCUGAAAAACUGUUUCAUUCACAUUCAGUGGACACUUUCUCCCUUCUUGUAUCAUUCUUUACAAAUGAGGGGAACCUAAGAGAGUAAUUCGCAAGAUCCCAGUGAUUUAGGAAGAAAGCAAUUUUUUGUGCCCAAGUCAUUAAAUCAAAGGAAACUUUUUAAUCUCUUAACCUUGAAUUAUUUUAAAUUCUUGUCCAAGCUUCUGAUGAAUGAAGGAAGUAAAUGAAAAGACACCGCACACAAUACCAAGACAUUCAGCCUUGGCUAAAUUUCGAUAUUUGAAGGUAUGACGUUCUUUAUGACCUCCUGAGCACAGUGAGCCUUUAGAAUCUAACUUUCUAUGUGCCAAUCUUGAGAAAAUUGGGUCUGUAAAAUGCACUUUUCGGCAAUUUGACUUGUGUCAGCAUAAGGAGCAGUGGAACCGUCACUGAGUUGUAGAUACGGAGUCUUUUGUUCUGAACUGAGUUGUCACGUCAGGUUAUCUUCCCGGCCAGCAAGAGACUAGGAAGAAGGAAGCUUGCUCUCGAUCAACCACAUGUUUUCGCUCUAUAAUGUGUGUAUAACUGCUGAAAACUACUAUUUUCAGUACUGAUUCUGUGGAGGUAUCAGAAAACCCGAUUUUAAAAGCUCAUCUUACUCCGAAGAUUGUAAAGAACAUAAUCUCAUUAAAUCUCAAAAUUUAGCCGGUGCUGAAUUUCUUGGUAUUGUAAGUGGUGUCCUUUAUUAGAAAAAUGGAAGUAUUGAUAACUUUGAACAAAAUUUGUCCCAAAGUUUGUAUUCCAAAAGAGCGGACUUCAGAAACCUAGGCUCCAAGGAAAUGAAAAAAUCAGAAAAACAGCCGAUUUAAUUUAGCAGCGAAAACCAUGAAAAAUACAAAGAUCUCAAGAAAAAAUGUGUUCGUUUUUUGCUUUCUUUUAUUUUACAUUUACAAAUUAAACAAAUUAACAUAGACAUCUGUAGACUGCUUUAGUCUUUACAAAUUUGUUUUUAUCAUCAAUAAUCAAAAUAUUUAUGGGCUGCCCUAAGAUUUCAAAACACUGAAAGAUUUUAGUGAUUUUACUAGCUUUAAUUGAGACUGUGAAAAGUAAUUGACUGGUUUAAUUUACAAAAGCAAUCAAAUAAAUCUUUAAGAAUAUGAGUAAAAUGGAGAAAAAUUGAGAAAACCUAGAACUUCGUGAAUUACAUCAGUAAUAUCUGGUACUUCUCAGUAAUACUAGUCAGAAACUGGAAGAACUGCUUUAUGAAAGGGUUUUAAUGCUAAGUUUUGUCUUUUCUCCGGUCAUGUAAAACCUGAAAAAUGUUAUGAACUUCACAAAUUCAAUUUGGACUAAGAACAGCUUAACAGUCACAUUAUGUACGUAGAUUUUGGAAAAGUCGUACCAAUCCUUUGACGCCACAUCCCAGCAUAUUACUUCCGAUCCUCCAGAAUUUAACUAUAUUCAUUUUUUUUGCCCAUAAUUAAUUCUUUUCC
RNAcentral lists this long non-coding RNA (4517 nucleotides) under Bemisia tabaci. RNAcentral describes it as "lncRNA ENSSSA2NGG010770". Lineage: Eukaryota; Metazoa; Arthropoda; Insecta; Hemiptera; Aleyrodidae. The record is from RNAcentral.